Molecule: long non-coding RNA, 368 nt
Organism: Aegilops tauschii subsp. strangulata
Lineage: Eukaryota; Viridiplantae; Streptophyta; Magnoliopsida; Poales; Poaceae
Source: RefSeq, a predicted model, not a curated record
GGGGUGGGGGUGGGGGAUUCCCCACCUGAAUUUGUAUCCAGUUGCCUAUAAGGCUUUGCAGCUCAUUGCAAGAAUAGGUUCAGAUACCAAGAAAACACUCAAUCUGAGAGAGGUGGUGAGAAAUAGCCAUGCAUGGUCUCUCCUGUACUUUCUGCCAAAAUAGCAGGCUUGUCGAUCAAAUGCAUAAAAAGAUAACAUGCAGGUGAUCAGGCUUCGUUAGUUAGGCCCAUGUGUCUAAAAGGAUAAACUGGUCCCUCGCUUCUACUGUUCAAAUUUGGUAAUCUUUCUCGACUCUAAUUAGUAUAUUUUGAGCUGUUAUUUUAUUCGACCAAACGAAUACCUCCCUAUUCAAUAAUUUUUCUGUAGCA